GUCCUAUUGUAUUAUUUAAUAGGUCUGGCCUGCCCAGUGAUAAUUUCAACGGCCGCGGUAUAUUGACCGUGCAAAGGUAGCAUAAUCAUUAGUCUUUUAAUAGGAGGCUGGAAUGAAAGGUUUAACGAGAAAUUGACUGUCUCAAUUGCAAUCUUGAAUUUAUCUUUUGAGUCAAAAGACUUAAAUUUAGUUGGUGGACGAGAAGACCCUAUAGAGCUUGACAAUUAUUUUUUUUUCUAUUUACUUAGUUAAAUUAUUUAUUUAUAUUAAAAAUAUUGUUUUGUUGGGGUGACAAUAAAUAUAUAUUUAACUUUUAUUAUAAUAUUAACAUUAAUAUAUGAUUUUUGGAUCCAAAAUUUUUGAUCAUUAGAUUAAGUUACC
This 381-nucleotide ribosomal RNA is filed under the name Ischnura senegalensis. RNAcentral describes it as "partial large subunit ribosomal RNA". The stretch from base 1 to 184 matches the Rfam family "Archaeal large subunit ribosomal RNA", at positions 1908 to 2143 of the family's 2987-position model. The record is from RNAcentral. Lineage: Eukaryota; Metazoa; Arthropoda; Insecta; Odonata; Coenagrionidae.